RNAcentral lists this unclassified non-coding RNA (378 nucleotides) under uncultured Chlamydiales bacterium. RNAcentral's name for it is "contains 16S-23S intergenic spacer region". Lineage: Bacteria; Pseudomonadati; Chlamydiota; Chlamydiia; Chlamydiales. The record is from RNAcentral.
UCCUGGUUAACCCAGGCAGUCUCAUUAGAGUCCCCACCAUUAUGUGCUGGUAACUAAUGACAAGGGUUGCGCUCGUUGCGGGACUUAACCCAACACCUCACGGCACGAGCUGACGACAGCCAUGCAGCACCUGUGUAGCAGUCCUUGCGGAAAGCUCUGUUUCUAGAGCGGUCCACUACAUGUCAAGCCCAGGUAAGGUUCUUCGGGUAGCAUCGAAUUAAACCACAUGCUCCACUGCUUGUGCGAGCCCCCGUCAAUUCUUUUGAGUUUCACUCUUGCGAGCGUACUUCCCAGGCGGUGUAUUUAUCGCGUUAGCUUCGAUACAGAUAGGAUUGAGCCUACCUACAUCCAAUACACAUCGUUUACGGUGUGGACUAC